Molecule: ribosomal RNA, 788 nt
Filed under: uncultured Gammaproteobacteria bacterium
Lineage: Bacteria; Pseudomonadati; Pseudomonadota; Gammaproteobacteria
Description: bacterial SSU rRNA
Rfam family: Bacterial small subunit ribosomal RNA
Source: RNAcentral
ANAGUUUGAUGAUGGCUCAGAUUGAACGCUGGCGGCAUGCUUAACACAUGCAAGUCGAACGGUAACAGGACGCUAGGAUCCCUUCGGGGUGACUUUGUCGCUGACGAGUGGCGGACGGGUGAGUAAUGCAUAGGAAUCUGCCCAGUAGUGGGGGAUAACGUGGAGAAAUCCACGCUAAUACCGCAUGUGUCCUACGGGACAAAGCAGGGGACCUUCGGGCCUUGCGCUAUUGGAUGAGCCUAUGUUGGAUUAGCUUGUUGGUAGAGUAAAAGCCUACCAAGGCGACGAUCCAUAGCUGGUCUGAGAGGAUGAUCAGCCACACCGGAACUGAGACACGGUCCAGACUCCUACGGGAGGCAGCAGUGGGGAAUAUUGCACAAUGGGCGCAAGCCUGAUGCAGCAAUGCCGCGUGUGUGAAGAAGGCCUGCGGGUUGUAAAGCACUUUUAUUAGGAAAGAAAAACCCGGAGCUAAUACCUCCGGCAUUGACGGUACCUAAAGAAUAAGCACCGGCUAACUCAGUGCCAGCAGCCGCGGUAAUACUGAGGGUGCUAGCGUUAAUCGGAAUUACUGGGCGUAAAGCGAGUGUAGGCGGCUACUUAAGUCGGAUGUGAAAUCCCCGGGCUCAACCUGGGAAUUGCAUUCGAUACUGGGUAGCUAGAGUUUGGUAGAGGUAAGUGGAAUUCCGGGUGUAGCGGUGAAAUGCGUAGAUAUCCGGAGGAACAUCAGUGGCGAAGGCGGCUUACUGGACCAAAACUGACGCUGAGGCUCGAAAGCGUGGGGAGCAAAC